This 465-nucleotide ribosomal RNA is filed under the name uncultured bacterium. RNAcentral describes it as "bacterial SSU rRNA". It matches the Rfam family "Bacterial small subunit ribosomal RNA", at positions 96 to 564 of the family's 1533-position model. The record is from RNAcentral.
CGGCGAACGGGUGAGUAACACGUAAGCAACCUGCCCAAAAGACCGGGAUAACACCGGGAAACCGGUGCUAAUACUGGAUAGAUUGAGCGCUCGCAUGAGGGUUCAAGGAAAGCUUUAGGCGCUUUUGGAGGGGCUUGCGGCGCAUUAGCUAGUUGGUGGGGUAACGGCCUACCAAGGCGAUGAUGCGUAGCCGACCUGAGAGGGUGACCGGCCACACUGGGACUGAGACACGGCCCAGACUCCUACGGGAGGCAGCAGUAGGGAAUCUUCUGCAAUGGGCGCAAGCCUGACAGAGCAACGCCGCGUGAGUGAGGAAGGCCUUCGGGUCGCAGAACUCUGUUGUCGGGGAAGAAAAGGGUUUAGGACCGCUUGACGGUACCCGACGAGGAAGCCCCGGCUAACUACGUGCCAGCAGCCGCGGUAAUACGUAGGGGGCGAGCGUUGUCCGGAAUGAUUGGGCGUAAA